GCUCUGGCUGCCGGUGCUGCAGACGUCGCGGCGGCUGCCGCGCGUUGUGCCCGUGCGCAGCAGGAGGGAACGGUGGGAGCCGUUUCCCCUCGGCAGUUAAACCCCGGGCCGGCGGGGCCGGGCCAGUGUCUGCGGGUGGGGAUCUGCGAGGACGGGUCCGCGGCCCCUCUCCGGGGUUGCUUAGCGGGCCUGGCUUGGAGGUGCAAACGCUGGCUUGAAGCUAUAGGCUUGAUGGCCGGGCGUGCCAGACUUCUCGGAGCGGGGGAUCCGGAGCAGGCCGUCCGGGAGAACCGCAGUUUCUGUCAGCAAAAGUGAAUGCUGUGUCCUCUGCGCUGCUGUUGCCCCUUCAGAGAGCUUCCUUGGGAUCUGCUGAAACCAGGGAAGAAGGGGAAUGGAUGCGCUGCUUUGGCUCCCCUUGUGCCUGUAGCCCAUAAAUAAGAGUUAACAAAAGCCUCCACCAGCUAGCAGUUUCAAAUUUAAAACCAAUGUCGGGGCUUUUUUUCUUAAGUUCCAGGUGGUUAAGCUGUCAGUCAGAACCGUUGUUAUAUACAUGAGUAUGGCACUGAGUCCAUGUAUAACAAGACUCAAUGGACAGGUUUUCUUAGAAAGGAGUGAUUGGGAUGUGAACUCUGCCAUUCCUGUGGUGCCAGCAGAGUUACUCAUGUAGGAUGCUACCUCGUGCAUGGGCAGAGGGAGCUCCUUUUCCCUUCACUCUCAGGUCCUUUUGUGCCUGAUUACAAUUAGGGUUUGUGAUAACAUGUGGCAGUUUUCACCAGAAGUGUUUUACUCUGGUAAACAUUUUUCUGUAUUGGGAUAACUUCCUGCCUUGCUGAGUUGUUUACUCUUAUCUGGGGUUAUGACAUUGGGUGUGCUGCCGGUUUGCUGAAAUUCUGACUUCAUCCUGAAAAAUAUUUAUUGGACUUCACUUACCAGUUGAGAAAUACUUUGUGGCAUCUCUUCAGGGAGAGAUCUGUCAGCCUCUGUGGCUGACUUGAAACUAAAAGCUGUGUUUACUUGCUUCUGAAUUAUAUAAUUUCCAGUUGUUCCUUAAAGAAGGGGAGAAAAAUGAUUGUUGCUGCAAAGCUAGCAUUUCCUCCAUCUACUGGUUUCAUUUCUUCACCUCUGCGGUUUCACAUUCCUAACUGUCCCAUCCCAUAUGUUUUCUCC
This is a long non-coding RNA of Melopsittacus undulatus (budgerigar), 1167 nucleotides long. Lineage: Eukaryota; Metazoa; Chordata; Aves; Psittaciformes; Psittaculidae. The record is from Ensembl.